Pan troglodytes (chimpanzee) is the source of this 61-nucleotide microRNA precursor. It matches the Rfam family "mir-1285 microRNA precursor family". The record is from Rfam. NCBI's taxonomy places the organism in Eukaryota, Metazoa, Chordata, Mammalia, Primates, Hominidae.
UGGGAGCAUCACUUGAGCCCAGGAGUUUGAGACCAGCCUGGGCAACAAAGUGAGACCUCAU